RNAcentral lists this transfer RNA (71 nucleotides) under Cordylochernes scorpioides. Its description in RNAcentral is "tRNA-Gly". The record is from RNAcentral. Lineage: Eukaryota; Metazoa; Arthropoda; Arachnida; Pseudoscorpiones; Chernetidae.
UGCAUCGGCCGGGAAUCGAACCCGAGCAGCCCGCGUGGCAGGCGAGAAUUCUACCACUGAACCACCGAUGG